This 1120-nucleotide long non-coding RNA is filed under the name Oryzias sinensis (Chinese medaka). RNAcentral describes it as "lncRNA (ENSOSIG00000021311.1)". Lineage: Eukaryota; Metazoa; Chordata; Actinopteri; Beloniformes; Adrianichthyidae. The record is from RNAcentral.
AUGUUUCUUUCCUGCUACAGGUAUAAAUUACAAGCCUUUUGCUCUUUGAUCCUACAUAUUUCACCUGCAGGCAGCAUCACACUGAAUUCUCGACCCGCACAGAUGGGGCAGAUCACUUCCAAGCAGAAUGUGCUGCCUCGGACCGUCCGCUUCUCGACCCACGAGGAAGGCCCCCCCAGAUACUCCCCGCAUCAUUUCAAUGGCAGGAAUCCAAAUUUGCGCACCAAUCCCACCGCCAUCGUCUCAGACGAGGACUCCAGCAGCACAGCAGAUCGGCGGGGAUCGCGGGCGGAGCUGCGCCGCUCCUCCCUCUACAGCACCAUCGACCUGGUUCCUCAGCUGGAGCAUUAUGCCAGCUCCAUACCGCGCCAGCAGGCGAGGAGCCGACCCUCCCUGGAGGUGCUGAGGAAGUCCUUUGAGGUGAGCUACAAGGACCCCCCAGCACUUUGCAUCAUCUGGUUUUCAAGGUUACCUCCCAGUUAGAGGCAGAACCUAACAGCAGGGAAGGAAAACUACACUACAUAUUUUAAAUUCAAUGUCAUGCCUUAAGACUCACUUUGAUGAAAAUUGUGUUUUCUGUGUCAACUUGUGGCGUUUUUCUGAUUAUAAAGGACAUAUAACAAAAAAAAAUAAGCUUAAAAUUUCAUUUUUGAGUAUUUCCUUAUUCAAGUUGUUUUGAUUCAGGCUCGACAAAAAAAUGCAGUUUAAAAAAGCUUGUAGCAGUUACAGAGGUGCUGCUCCCCGCUCUGCUCCAUUCUGAUGCAUCCACUUGUAGACGACUAGAUCCAUGUACGUCUUUGUUUAUCUGACCUGGAAUCUGGCUUAAAACUGUAUGGCUGGAUAACUCCAAUAUUGCUUGCAACUUUUGUUGGACAGUAAAAGUUAAAUUAGGGUUGUGAGGGGCUGUAAGCUAGCGGGACGGUGUUUAUAGACAGAUGGAUGGGGGGAAGUAGGGCUAGGCUUACUCUGUGACAACAGCUUUGCCCACAACUAAGAGGUUCAUUUCUUAUGAACUCCUGCUUCUCUGCAGAAACUUAGACAGUUUUUUUUUUUUUUGCUUUUGGCUAAAAAUAUCACAAAAUAAAAGCCCAUCGAGGAUACUUUUAAAAAUAGAUCAACA